Long non-coding RNA from Lathyrus oleraceus (garden pea), 4484 nucleotides. RefSeq lists it as uncharacterized. The record is from RefSeq and is a predicted model, not a curated record. The transcript is spliced from 2 exons. Lineage: Eukaryota; Viridiplantae; Streptophyta; Magnoliopsida; Fabales; Fabaceae.
CAAGUCUAUUCUUGAAGUUGAAAUUUAAAGAGAACCCCUAACCCUAAAGGAGCGAUUAGGUUAAGGAAUAGUGAUAGGAACGAUUACAAGUUACUCCGUUUACAAGAUGCUCAUUCUUGUAUCAAUCAGAGAGUUAAUAUUAUAGCUAUUGUUCAUCAUUUUCUGAGAUUCACUGGCAAUGAUGAUAAAAAGGCCGGUCUUACGGCUGCCAUUUACUUACUUCAAUGGUAGUAGAUUGAUUAAUGCUUUCGUGAAAGUGUUUUCUGAGCCAGUUUCAUCCAUGUCUUUAUCAUUUUUAUUGAAUACUUUGUUUUAGGUCAAAAAUAUAUGUUUUUUUAAUUUAUGGGUUCAUGUAUCUCCAAGUUAUAACUAUUCGAUGCUGCUUGAAUUAUUUCUGCAGAUUGAUUGAUGAAACACAUCACCAAACCGGUAUGGCUGUUAACAUCUUUACUGAAAAUUCCUCAUGUUGCUGCAAGAUAUAUAAUUCAGCUUUCUAAUGUUACCGGUAGAAUUUCUGGACUUAUCUGCCUUUUUAUGUCCAUAUAUGCAUAAACAUGCUUCGAAAAUGGUUGGUCAGUUUUCAGAUUCCUGCAGGUAUUGUAGGAUUUUAGCUUUUGAUGUAAUUUACAUCCAUUUUCUUUCAUUUCUGUUUUCUGAGUUCUGUAUUUUAAUUACUUCUCUUAUCAAAGCAACCAGAAAUGAAUACACUACAGAAGGUGAGUUUGAGACUCACUUUUUUUUUUCUCUUGACAAGAAAUCAAUCUAUGCCUAACCAACUCUUCUAACUGUACCCCUUUUAUGUAUAGGAAAUGGUUGCAAUUUAGUUAAGUUCCCCCCUCUUACCUAGUACCAACCUACUUUCACCCCUCACAUAGACUCUCAUUAUUACCGAGUUUGGUCAGAAUUAGGAAUCAUGGGGAUUUUAUAACUCUUAUCAUGCAAUGUGAUUUAAGCCUUGGUUGCUUAUGGCCGCAGUUAGUUGGUGUAUGCUAAAAACUAGCUUGGAUUUUAUUGUCUCCUUAAGAUUUUGAAUUUGUUUAGCUCAAUCAAGAAUUACCUUACUUCUAAAGAAAUCGGUAUUUGUUUGAGUAGUUUUGGCUUAGGUGGUUUGUAUUUUUUUUUAUGUAUAGUCAAGGUUUUUAAAUGUUGUGUUGUGUAGAUUCAAAUGAUUUUCCUAUGCUAAGAGAAAUCAACAAAGGUCAUUUUAAUUUGUCCGGCAAGGUAAUUCAGUUAGAAUUGGUUUUGAUAUUUGUAUUAUGAGUUUUAAGACCCUUGGAUAAAUAUUUAAGUAAAAUAUGUAAAUUGUAAUUUUUUACUUUUAGUUGUUACCUUUCCAAGGUUCUGAUUCUUCAUGCUUUUUAUUGCACCUUAAGAUACUUCAUUGCUGGGAGGCUUUGAAAGAUAAUUGGUUUGUCUAUGUUUGAGACGGUACAACAGAUACCCUGCAAAAUGCCAUAACAAUUGUCCGAAAGAUUAUUCUUUUCGUGAUAUGAUUUUUCUCCUUAAUUUAUUUAUUAAUUUUGUGAUAUGACUUUCCUAUUUAAUUUAUUUUUCCUGGUCACAUGUUCUUUUAGGGAAGAUCCAUGCUUGGUCCUAAGGUCCUAAAACCUUCCUUAGAACUAUAGUCAGAAAAACGACUUUCUCGAUCAAAAGUCAUUCUGAUGACAUCAAUAUUCUAUUUUCUAUUAAUGCGAUGGUUGGUUGUAUAAGUAUUCAUAGGAGGUUUGAAGUCUACGUGGGAAUCUCACAUUGGACUGAACAAUGCAAAUUUGAAGAAACCAAAAUUUGAUGAUUCAAAUUCCAUAAUAAAACGAGCAAGACUCAUUUCUAAAAAAACAAAGUUUUCUUAAAUGAAUCAUUCAUUUAUUUAUUUUUUGCAUUAAUAAGUAACCAAUGAUCAAAAAACAGCAACAUAUUUAAAGUUAAAAAAAUAAAAUAAAAGAGUGUUAACCCCGAGCAUUAUUCUUGUUAGGUGCACAUAUGUUCUUUGAAGUUGAAAUUCAAAGAGGCUUGCUCCUGGGAAACCCUAACCCUAAGGGGCGGGAGGAGAGAGAGCGAUAGACACACAAUGUGAGUUAGGUUAAGGAUUAGUAAUAGGAAUGGUUACAAAUUACUCCGAUUACGAGAUGCUCAUUCUUGUAUCAAUCAGAGAGUUAACAUUAUUGCUAUUUGUUCUUGAGUUUGGUCUCCCGAAAGCAACUAGAGGCACUGAUAAUUUUCAAUUUCUGAGUUUCACUGGCAAUGAUGAUAAAAAGGCCGGUCUUACGGCUGCCAUUUUUACUUCAAUGGUAGUAGAUUGAUUCAUCCUUUCGUGAAAGUGUUUUCUGAGCCAGUUUCAUUCCAUGUCUUUAUCAUUUUUAUUGAAUACUUUGAUUUAGGUCAAAAGAUAUGUUUUUUAAUUUAUGGGUUGAUGUAUCUCCAAGUUAUAACUAUUAGAAGUUAAACUCACACAAUAGUCAAUUUGAGUUUGAACUCUGAUUCCUGCAUUCGUCUUUGCCGAUAUCAAUUGAGUUUUAUUUUUGGGUUCCUUUACUUAUUUCUCAUUAAAAUUUAAUUUAUAUGACCGAUAAUUAACAUUAUGAAACUGUUAAGAAAGAUUAUGAGUUUAACGAAUUUGAUAGAAACAUGUUCUAUAAUAGAAUAUUUUGAUCCAUAUAUCCAAUCUCAUUCAGCAUACGUUUGGUUAUGCGGUAGCAUAUAAUAUACAUCCCUAAAAAGACAUGUAUUAGAUGAUAUUCUUGUGUUAAAAACUGAAAGCAGAUUGAAAUCAACUCUAUGCUUUAUGCUCACUUGGACAGUGCUGCAUCAGUUUACUGUACAUAAGCUUUUCUAAAGUAAAUUUAUCCCUUUCUCUCUUGACAAGAAAUCAAUCUGUGCCUAGCCAACUCUUCUAACUGUACCACAUUUAUGUAUAGGAGAUGGUUGCAAUUUAGUUUGUUUCCCCCUCCUACCUAGUACAAACCUACUGCGACCCCACAGAUAGACUCUCAUUAUUACCGAGUUUGGUCAGAAUUAGAAAUCAGGGGGAUUUUAUAACUCUUAUCAUGCAAUGUAAUUUAAGCCUUGGUUGCUUCUGGCCGGAGUUAGUUGGUGUUUGCUAAAAACUAGCUUGGAGUUUUGGCUUAGGUGGUUUGUAUUUUUUUGGUUUAUUGGCGGCUUCAUCAUACUUUUUGAUGUAUAUUCAAGGUUUUUUAAAGGUUGUGUUGUGUAGAUUCAAGUGAUUUUCCUAGGCUAAGAGAAAUCACAGAAGGUCACUUUGAUUUGGGGACAGUACCGAUACCCCGCCAAAUGCCAUGACUUCAGUGUGAGUUGAUGUAAAAUUACUUUUACAUUGUCAGUUCAACUCCCCUCCCCCCGAUGUUUUCGUCUUUAGAUAAAAUUGUAUACUUUUCAAACGCAAGUUACUUGACAUAGGGAUUUAAUUGAGAUUAAAGUUGUUCUCUUACCUUAGGAAUUAGAUUUGAAAAGAAAUAGAAAAUUUGGUACCAGUUUAGAAGAUUAAUUUGUGCUGAUAUGGCCAUGGAUUUUGUAUAAGAGUUUCUUUUUCUACAGGGUUUUGCCAAGAGUUGUAUAUAUACGAUUGCAAGGGCAUCAUCUAUAACCAUUCAUUUUGAGAUUGGAAUGUUUCUUUUUCACUUAUUCAGCUUUGACCCUGUUUGGUUUAGUGUUUGUGAAGAACAUAUAAAUUUAUUUUAGCAUCCUCCAAAGGAAUUUGAUAUGCUUGCUGAUGAAAUGCAGGCUGGAAGAUGAAUUUUUGUUUUUGAAAGGAAAUUAUAGUAUAUAAAAGGCGGGAACCAAAAAAGUAAGAGUUAGCUACAAAGCAGAAGAAGUGCCUGAUAAAAAGCAAGAAAAAAAACAACAAAGGAAAAAAACAUAGAGAAAAAUAAAAUCAUCUUGAGUAUUGCUUUUGAACUACCCAUAGAGAAAAAUCAUCUCAAUGUUCUUAAAAGUGGUAAAUGGGCCCAAUUUAUCAACAUACAUCUUAAAGUGUAUGCAGGACUGUGGUAUGGUGGUUUUACCUCACAUUCAAAGCUUCGACAUACACCAAAUGAAGACAGUCUCAUUACAGAACGCCAAAGGUUGUAUGAUGACCGUAUAUUGUUGAAAUCAGGAAGCAUGCCUAUUGGCAGCAUGACAGGAGACUCUUUUUGAUGGUUAUCCUGGCACUGCAAAUGUGAAAAGGAAAUUGAAGAGAUUAGUUGGAAUAACUGAAUGCGAUGAAAGUAGGUCAAGAAAUCCACCAUGGGUCAGUGUUUGUAUUAAAUCAUACUAUGUCUCCAAAACUGAUGUAUGGGGAAGUAGAAACUUUAGAAUAUUUGACACCAAAAUAUGUAUAUGUCUGUCUGUCUCUCCCUUUUGCAAACUAGAACAUGCAUAUAUAUGUCCAGGAGAGAUAUGAUAUGUAUAUAGUAUGCACAAACUCUGUAUAUUUUAAAUGUAAAUGAAUCAUUUGUAAAUUACAAUGUUCAGUAUUUCUUGGUUCA